UCAGGAUGAACGCUGGCGGCGUGCCUAACACAUGCAAGUCGAACGAGAGAGGUGGUGCUUGCACCGAUCAAUCGAGUGGCGGACGGGUGAGUAACGCGUGGGUAACCUGCCUCAUACAGGGGGAGUAACAACUGGAAACGGUUGAUAAUACCGCAUAAGCGCACGGUAUCGCAUGAUACAGUGUGAAAAAACUCCGGUGGUAUGAGAUGGACCCGCGUCUGAUUAGCUAGUUGGCGGGGUAACGGCCCACCAAGGCGACGAUCAGUAGCCGGCCUGAGAGGGUGAACGGCCACAUUGGGACUGAGACACGGCCCAAACUCCUACGGGAGGCAGCAGUGGGGAAUAUUGCACAAUGGGGGAAACCCUGAUGCAAGCGACGCCGCGUGAGCGAAGAAGUAUUUCGGUAUGUAAAGCUCUAUCAGCAGGGAAGAAAAUGACGGUACCUGACUAAGAAGCCCCGGCUAACUACGUGCCAGCAGCGGC
This 483-nucleotide ribosomal RNA is filed under the name uncultured bacterium. RNAcentral's name for it is "bacterial SSU rRNA". It matches the Rfam family "Bacterial small subunit ribosomal RNA", at positions 24 to 518 of the family's 1533-position model. The record is from RNAcentral.